CUCACCAAACCUAUAAUCGGUACGGGCCGCGGGAGCGGUAGCCUGGAGAUGGGAACUGAGACAAGGUCCCAGGCCCUACGGGGCGCAGCAGUCGCGCAACCUCUGCAAUAGGCGAAAGCCUGACAGGGCUACCCCGAGUGCCGUCCGCUGGGGAUGGCUUUUCUCUGGUGUAGUGAGCCGGAGGAAUAAGGAGAGGGCAAGUCUGGUGUCAGCCGCCGCGGUAAUACCAGCUCUCCGAGUGGUAGGGACGAUUAUUGGGCCUAAAGCGUCCGUAGCCGGCUAAGCAAGUUUCCCGUUAAAUCCAGCGAUCCAAUCGUUGGACUGCGGGAAAUACUGUUUGGCUAGGGGGCGAGAGAGGCCAACGGUAUUCCCGGGGUAGGGGCGAAAUCCUAUAAUCCCGGGAGGACCACCAGUGGCGAAGGCUGUUGGCUAGAACGCGCCCGACGGUGAGGGACGAAAGCUGGGGGAGCGAACCGGAUUAGAUACCCGGGUAGUCCCAGCUGUAAACGAUGCAGGCUAGGUGUUAGGGCGGCUACGAGCCGCUCUAGUGCCGCAGGGAAG
This 561-nucleotide ribosomal RNA is filed under the name uncultured crenarchaeote. RNAcentral describes it as "bacterial SSU rRNA". It matches the Rfam family "Archaeal small subunit ribosomal RNA", at positions 248 to 811 of the family's 1478-position model. The record is from RNAcentral. Lineage: Archaea; Thermoproteati; Thermoproteota.